Lolium rigidum is the source of this 4571-nucleotide long non-coding RNA. RefSeq lists it as uncharacterized. NCBI's taxonomy places the organism in Eukaryota, Viridiplantae, Streptophyta, Magnoliopsida, Poales, Poaceae. The transcript has 3 exons. The record is from RefSeq and is a predicted model, not a curated record.
UGUCCAUGCUUGUGAACGCCGGGGAGAAGGAGGCGCUGGCGCGCAGAUAGCCGUGUGGUGAGGGUGCUGCUCUAGCUCACGAGAAGAAUGCACAGGUCAAUGAUUGAUUCCUACCUUAGCUUAAUUAGCUGCUGCUGCUUGCUGUGUGUGAACUCUCGCUGUUACAGAUCAACUGUGGAUACGCACUUAGCUGUAUUCGCGUCCGCACGGAGGUGAUGCGGUCCAGUUUUCUUCCUUCAUUGGAGUGAAUCCAGGAGCUUCGUAUAGAUUAUUUGACUGAAACCUGUGACCCGAAUACUUAAAUUGGCAAAGCCUCCCUUCAAAGAGAUUUUCUGACGAAUUCUUGAAAUUUUGUGUUCAUUUCAGAAGACUUUUCUGGAAGAAGAAAGAUUCCAGAAAAAUAACUAAAUAUGCACAACAUAUUUCCCGCUUUCCUACCUGCAACCUUUGGCUGUUCUCCUUGAUCCUCUUGGAUUAGUUAAACCUGUACGACGUGUCAACUGGUUAUCCUACUACACUACAAAACGAUUCUAGUAUCAUUGUUUGUUGGUGUUAGGGAGACAGGCCAGACAUUAGUAUGAUAUAUUCAUUUAUCGUGCGAUGUUGGCGUACGUAUUGAGCUGUGAAACAAAUGCACAGUUUGAAAGAAAGGAUACUAUUAAUCUAAGGGCACACUUGUAGCUCUCUACAAUACUCAUAAGUACAAAAACAGAGUGUCAGCCACCAGCAGAAGACCCUUUUGGGUGUUUAAGUCGACUCCAUUACACGCUAAGAUAUUGGACUCUAAACCAAAUGAAUAAAUCAGAUAUUUGGAUAUCUUAGCAAAUUCAGAUUUGCGACAAAAUGUAUAAUCGGUAAACUGAAUGAAUUACAUUACAAAUAGCACAAAUAUAGUCAAAUGCAAGCAAUAACCGGAUAUUACAUCUUCCAAAGUCAGGCACUAUAGAAAGUGAAAAAAAUAACAAGAAGUGGACCAGCAAUUUUCAACGGAAGAAAGGGUCCCAUCAAACUCCUUAUUAGCAUGUUUCUCUGCAGUUGCAUUUUUAUCUCUGGAGGAAGAAACAAUAGUGCAAGAUAUAGGAGAUACUAUAUUAUAAAGAAAGAGUGUAAAAUUGUAACUCAAGUAACACACAGAACUUUCUAAUAGUUUUCAUUUAGGGCAAAGCUAAUGAGAUUAUGGUACAUCUAAUUCUGGGCACUACAUUACUGUAAUAGGAUAUAACUAACAAUACCUUUCUUUUUUAUUAACCUACAAAUCUGCACUGCAUUCAGCUUUGAAAAAAAUAUACUCAUUACCAGUUCUAAAAAAGUCUGUGUAAAAGCAGUUCCAUAAGAUAUGAUUGUACCUAUUGUGUAUAAACCAAAGAGGGUGUUCGUAACAAUUUUAUCAAUAGUCAUUGUCAGUAGCUGUUUCAGGAUACAUAAUUAAAGAGAAGAGACAUCCAUGGAUAUUCUUUUAUUUUGUGAUCGGAAGUUAAAUUUAUUUUGGUAAACAAAGGAACAACAUGGGCACAUGGCCAUACUGUUUCAGUUAGAAAAACCAUUGGUCAAGCAACAGAUAAAUAAUUUAGGACUUCCUUAGACAAUACAUAAGACAAUAUAACACUUCCUUAGACAAUACAUAAGACAAUAUAACCUGUACUUCUAGCAUAUUCGGCUGCGGCAAACAUUUUAUUGUGGUAAUGCUCAGUACUGGGCUGGUGCGAAGAGUCCAAGAUUAGGGGUGCGUCUUGGCGCACAAUCCCGUGAGACACAUGUAUAGGUGAAAAAAUAAUUAACAAUCAAAAACAGUUAUACUAAUAGAUCGAGAAACAGUUGUUAAUAUAUUAUGUACAGCCAUUGAAUAGGAGGGAAAAUAUAUUAUACUAAUUAACAGAUGUUAAUUCUACCGAGGGCAACAAAAGCAAAGGAAGGAACACCAAAAUCAUCUACAUAGGCAAUGUGUAUCAUGAUCUUUAAAAAUCACAACACAAAUAAAAUGUAAAUCUACAUAACCUGUAUGGUUGACAGCAAACGAAGCGUGCAUUUUCUAUACAGUUAGUGAUAGGUAACUAUAACUCUAAUAGCAUAAUUUCAGAAGAGUUUGUAUUCCUUUCUCACGUCACUCUACAUCUUUAGAAAUAGAUACAUCUAAUUAAGGUGUAUCCUGAGCACACACACAAUUUUUUUUUGCAUAUAAAACAACAGCUUGAGCACGCAUAAAAAUCGAUGGUCAGGCCAACGACACUUCACACAUCAUGGCAAGAAACGGUGAACCGAGUAACUAAAUAAUGAGCGAUCACCUAACUAAGGGUAUGUAGCUGAUUGCUAGUCGAUGACGACGAACCUGGAGAUCCGUGGUUGUAUAGCUCCUAGGGGUACCAUCUUGUAGCAACAACAGUUGAGAUUGCCCCGACCUACCACCGUACCGUCUACCAAAUCAGUCCACGCUCGCCUCUUCACAACCGAAAAAGGAGUACUGGUCACUGGAGAGCCCUGGGCUGCAUGAUCUCCUAUCUGCUCGAAGGUGCAAAAUUUGUAAGUAGAGAGUUAAAUGAACAACUGUAAUAUUAUCAAUUUUUCAGGAGUUAGUACCGAAAGGAGAUGGUCUAAUGAUUUGGCAAACGCCAAAAAGAUGCAACCUACUCUUUCCGCAAUCCCCUUUUAUAACCUCAUUGACCUCUUAAAUUGUCUUCAGAAUUAGGAAUGGAAUUUACGAAACAAUGUAAUAAUGAGAACAAAUUACCCAACAUACACACACACGAACAAAAAGAGAUGUAGGAAAAAAUGAUGGUGAUGUGAUACAUGCGAAUCUAGACAAAUCCGGGUCACUUAUUUCCAAACGGAGGGAGUAUGAAUUAAUAAGUGUUAAUUGAUGUCAUUCUAUUUCUUGCAACCUCUUGUAAACAACAUUGUGGCAAUGGCUAGCCUAGAGGAGGCGUGGCUGCGAAGGUCGCAGCACCGGGCAACAGAGAGAUGGUCCAGUGGAAGCGUCUACACCAAGAGGUCGAGUCUAUCUGUUGGCAGCUGCAGCACCGUGGGGCAGUUGUUGCCUACAUGAGCUUCCAUAGUUGUGUCUGGAAGGCAAAAACACCUAUGCGCACAACAUCAUUUGUAUGUUUCCAUCGGAGCAGACUAAUCUUUAGGCCCAAGGUCGUUCUUUUUUCUUUUGAAUUAUCACAGCCAAGUGGCAUCUUGCACUACAUCUUCACUUAUUACAGUAACUUUAAGCACAAUCUUUUUGUUUCUUGUAUGCCUUAAGUAGGUAGCUGGGUCUUACGGCACGGACUCCGACUGAUCGAAGGUACUUCAGAAGUAAAAGUUUCUAUAAUGUUUCUGAUUAUUUGACUCAAUACAUUUGCGGAAUGCGCUCAUGACCGAAACACCUAAGAAUUAUCCAGCUACAGUAUAUCAGCAUUCCCAGAGAUAAAUUUCGGUUGCAUCUAUAUUGGAUCAAACUAAGGCGGCAUGCAAGCCAACAUGAGCUCUCAUCACUCAGGGCUGCACUUGAAGAUCUUUUAAAGGACUAAAUCUAUUGCAAGCAGUUUGCAAGAAAAUGAUAUGCUCUUAUCACUCAGAGUUGAUAUUGAAGAAUUCUGAACACUUAUAGCAUGUGGGGUUGGCAUAUUAAAUGUCAUGUAGAUGAUUCUCCAAAUCAGUUCUGUGAAAGGACAUGCAAUGAAGAGAUGGUGUAUUGUCUCCUCUUGAUCACAAAAUCAACAUUUAACGUCCCCAUAUCAAUUACGUUUGACAAGAUUAUAUUUCGUGAGAAUAACUUUCUUAUAGAGAUACCACAUGAAUAUCUUAAUUUGCAGCGAUACCUUUAUCUUCCAAGUAUAUUUUUUAAGAAAAACAGUGUGGUCAUUAAGCAAGUCAUUGUACAUUAUUUUAACAGUUAAAAUACCAGAUGUGGUGAGACUCCAUUUGAAAGUACCUUCCUGAUAAGUUAAUUGGACACGAAUUAAUUGAUGUAACAUAUGUGUUCACCUAAUCCAUUUAUUAUCAUCCAAAGUUUUUCUGAAACUAAUAUUUAGAGGAUGUGAUGCUAACACAUUUUCCACUGUAUCAUUCUUAUGAUUAACAAUAUUAUAUAAUGACGGAUAUUCAUUGGUAGGUGAAAGGGCAUUUCCCUCCUAACAUGGUUUUGCGAGUUUGUUGUUAAGAUAGAGAUAUUUAACCAUGUGCUUAUGGAUCAUAGAUGAUAUAUGUGUUAAGCUUGUCACGGUGGCCGAUCCCUAAAAAGUGAAACGAACAAGAUGUGCAUUGCAGCUUUGUGGUGAAGUGUCUGCAAUGCUCAAGAAAAUAUCGGGGGUUGGCUGGAAAUGGUGGUGGAGAAGACCCACAACAAAAAAAACCAAGUGCAGAUCUUCAGUCUGUAGACUCCGGACAAGUACACCGGAGACUCCGGUCAUCCGGGCCGGAGACUCCGGGCAAGUCUCCGGACUAACCAACUUCGAGAAGCUAGCCAAGGUGUCUCACAAUAUGUAUGGGGGUCCGGAUUCUCGGCCAGGGACUUUUCUCAAGUUCUCGGUCAUUACACUCCGGAGACUCCGGUCUCCCCUGGCCGGAGACUCCGGACAAGUUUCCAGAGU